GUGCCCCUCCUCCGGGAGGGCGAGGCGAGAGGCACUCGCACCCCCGGGCGGGCAGCCCUGCCGCACCUCCCCGCGGGCGGCCGGGCGGGCCGCGGCUGGGGCGGUGCCGCGCCGCUCUCUCCACGCCCGCUGGGUGCAGCCGCGUCUCUCCGGAGGAUCCUUCACAGCUCCCUGCGCCCGCCGCCGGCGGACGAGAGCGGGAGCUGCGGCGGGCGCUCACCCUCAGGCGGGCCCCGGGGCGGCGGCAUGUCGGCGGAGAGCGCCUGGAGAUUAACCCUUCUGUAAAGCUUUGUGGAAGAUAGAUGUUUGUGCUGCAAUGGUGACAUAAAUCUUUCAGAGGACUGGAACAAGUUGUUGAGAAUCUGUGUUUGUGUCUGUUGAGAACAAUCUAAGGCAAGUAAACAACAUGAGUUUUAUCAUGAAACUUCACAGACAUUUUCAAAGAACAGUUAUUUUGCUGGCCACUUUUUGUAUGGUGAGCAUAGUUAUUUCUGCGUACUACUUGUAUAAUGGCUACAAACAGGAAAAUGAACUUUCUGAAAUCUCUUCAGAAGUGGAAUGUGGUGAUCUUCAACUGUUGCCAUACAAGCUGAUGGAGAUGAAGACCAUGAAGCCCAUUGAUCCCCUGAGGACAGAUCUUGUAGUGCUGGUGUUUGUGGAAAGUCAGUACUCAACAUUAGGCCAAGAUAUAAUAACCAUUUUAGAAUCUAGCAGAUUUCAGUUUCACAUUGAAAUUGCGCCUGGGAAAGGCGACCUCCCAGUGCUUAUAGACAAAAAUAAAGGCAAAUAUGCUCUCAUAGUGUAUGAAAAUAUUGUAAAGUAUGUGAACAUGGACUCUUGGAACAGAGGCCUUCUAGAUAAGUACUGUAUAGAAUAUGGUGUAGGCGUUAUUGGAUUUCACAAAGGCAAUGAGAACAGCUUACAGAGCUUUCAGUUGAAGGGCUUUCCUUUCCAUGUCCACAGCAAUCUGGGUAUUAAGGACUGUUGCAUUAACCCUCAUUCCCCACUGCUCCAUGUGACUAAAUCUUCUAAGCUUGAGAAAGGUCCCUUGCUUGGAAAUGACUGGGCAGUCUUCCAGAUUAAUCAUACAGCUUAUCAACCAGUGAUAUUUGCAAAAGUAAAGACACCAGAAAACCUUUCACCACCUGCUGCUAAAAGUGCUCUCCAUGCCACAGUAAUUCAUGACCUGGGGCUCCAUGAUGGGAUUCAACGAGUCCUCUUCGGCAAUAACUUGAAUUUUUGGCUGCACAAGCUGAUUUUCAUAGAUGCCAUCUCUUUCCUGUCUGGAAAGAAGCUCAGACUGUCCUUGGAUAGGUACAUUCUGGUUGACAUAGAUGACAUCUUCGUUGGGAAGGAGGGAACAAGAAUGAACACCAACGAUGUACAGGCCCUGCUUGACACUCAGAAUCUUUUGAGAGCUCAGAUUACAAAUUUUACUUUCAACCUGGGAUUUUCAGGGAAAUUUUAUCACACAGGCACUGAGGAGGAAGAUGAAGGCGAUGACCUGUUGUUGAGGUCUGUAGAUGAGUUUUGGUGGUUUCCCCAUAUGUGGAGUCACAUGCAGCCUCAUCUCUUCCACAAUGAGUCGUCACUGGUGGAGCAGAUGAUCCUCAACAAAAAAUUCGCCUUAGAACAUGGCAUUCCAACGGAUUUGGGCUAUGCAGUGGCUCCACACCAUUCUGGGGUCUAUCCAGUACACGUCCAACUUUAUGAUGCCUGGAAAAAGGUCUGGAAUAUCAGAGUUACUAGCACAGAAGAAUACCCACAUCUGAAGCCUGCAAGAUACAGACGAGGCUUCAUCCACAAAAAUAUCAUGGUGCUUCCUAGGCAAACUUGUGGCUUAUUUACCCACACCAUUUUCUAUAAAGAGUAUCCUGGAGGCCCAAAGGAACUAGACAAAAGUAUCCAAGGAGGAGAGUUGUUCUUCACAGUGGUUCUCAAUCCAAUCAGCAUCUUCAUGACACAUUUGUCUAAUUAUGGAAACGACCGCCUGGGGUUGUACACCUUUGUGAACCUGGCCAACUUUGUUCAUACCUGGACAAACCUGAAGCUGCAAACUCUUCCUCCAGUUCAGCUGGCUCACAAGUAUUUUGAACUAUUCCCUGAGCAAAAGGACCCUCUCUGGCAGAAUCCCUGUGAUGACAAACGGCACAGAGAUAUCUGGUCUAAAGAAAAAACCUGUGAUCGAUUGCCAAAAUUCUUGGUUGUGGGACCCCAGAAAACUGGUACCACAGCCUUAUAUUUGUUCCUGAUCAUGCAUCCUUCGAUCAUUAGUAACUCCCCCAGCCCAAAAACCUUUGAGGAGGUACAGUUCUUUAAUAGAAAUAACUACCACAGGGGGAUUGAUUGGUACAUGGAUUUCUUCCCCACUCCUUCCAACGUCACCACUGACUUCCUCUUUGAGAAAAGUGCCAACUACUUCCAUUCUGAGGAAGCCCCUAAACGAGCUGCUUCCCUCAUCCCCAAGGCCAAGAUCAUCACCAUCCUCAUCGACCCAUCCGAUCGGGCAUAUUCCUGGUACCAGCAUCAGCGAUCACAUGAAGAUCCUGCAGCUUUAAAAUUCAGCUUCUAUCAGGUGAUCACAGCUGGGCCCCGAGCCCCAUCUGAGCUCAGAGCUCUCCAAAAGAGAUGCCUCACACCUGGAUGGUACGCCACCCAUAUUGAAAGAUGGCUAACUUACUUCCCACCAUAUCAGCUCCUAAUUAUUGAUGGACAGCAGCUGAGAACUGACCCAUCUACCAUAAUGGAUGAAGUGCAGAAAUUUCUGGGCGUCUCUCCUCAUUAUAAUUACUCUGAAGCUCUAACAUUUGACUCACAUAAAGGUUUCUGGUGUCAGCUCCUGGAAGAGGGAAAAACAAAGUGUCUUGGAAAGAGCAAAGGUAGAAAAUACCCUCCUAUGGAUUCUGAGUGCAGGGCUUUUCUGUCAAGCUACUACAGAGAUCACAAUGUGGAACUGUCAAAACUCCUACACAAAUUGGGACAGCCCCUGCCAUCGUGGCUGAGACAGGAGCUACAGAAAGUAAGAUAGCAUUGAGACACGGCUUUUGGAAAUCUCUCUCCCAUGCUUCAGUCAUCAUACCUAAAGUCUCCAGUAUCUACCAAGAAUUUUUUGUAAGAUAUAUGUCUUCAAAAAAGAGUAAAAGAAAUUAUUUCCAUAUGCUGGCAUGUGGAUUGUGAAAAUACAUGUGUUUCUUAGAGCUCUGGUGGGCCAAAUCUUUCUCAUAAACUUUUCUGGGCCUGUGGACUUGUGUACUGCCGUGCACAUAUGUGAAAUUAUUUGCAGCUGGUAUAAGCUUCAGAGAUACAUGACCUGUCCAAUUUCAUGAACUCUUCUAUUUAAAUACGUUCCUACAUUUAACAGGAGACUAAAAAAAUACAGUGUGACUUUUAACGUGCAAUCAACUUGGUGAAGAAUGGAGUCUGAGCAAAGCAUGCAGACAACAUCUAGAUGUGUCAUUCCCCAAACAAUAGGAUGCACAUCAGUACAGCUGAAUAAGCAAGUCAUACGACAUGGAUUAUCUGACAGAAGUUUAACCUCUAUUCACAGUUUAGCUACAAUCGGUAUUUGAUUUCCACAAAUAGACUAUCAACAUUAAUACUGUUAAAAAAUACUGACCCAUUACAACUAAUUUUUAUUUGCUAGUCAAAGUCAGAUGUUUUAUAGUGGUUGGUAACACAGCCAUGGUUUCUGUUCCCCUGGUAGAUAACUGCACAAGCAAUUUCUUUAACAAAUGCUUGAUGAUGUGAGCUUCACAUUUAUUUUCAUAAACAUGAUUCUGAAAUUUGCUUUCUGCAGACAUCUGUGCCAUUAAAAAUCAAUGUGUGAUUAUGAGCAGAAAGUGACUGUUCAGGGGUGUAAACACAGAGCCUGAUAUGAAUUCACUUAAUUAUUUGAGCAAACAUUCCUGAAAAUACUGUGAUAUUUUCCCAGUUCUACUUGUGCAGAAAGAAUUUGUUUCAAUGAUUUGCAGACUAUCUUGUACAGAAUAUCCUUUUUCAUUGCUUAAAAAUGUGAAACUUCCUCAGGAAGAAAUUAAAUAGAUAUUUCAAUGUUUAUAGAUGUAAUACUCUUGUCAUUCACAUUGAAUGAAAAUUGCUGGAAACAUUUUUCUCAAAGUUUUUUAAAAUAAAAAAUAUAUAUUAUUCUCAUAGUGGCAUGGUAUCUGAAGUGCAACAAUAAACUCUGAUAAGAAAAUA
Molecule: RNA transcript, 4197 nt
Organism: Columba livia (rock pigeon)
Lineage: Eukaryota; Metazoa; Chordata; Aves; Columbiformes; Columbidae
Gene name: bifunctional heparan sulfate N-deacetylase/N-sulfotransferase 3
Exons: 15
Source: RefSeq, a predicted model, not a curated record